Molecule: ribosomal RNA, 424 nt
Filed under: uncultured cyanobacterium
Lineage: Bacteria; Bacillati; Cyanobacteriota
Description: bacterial SSU rRNA
Rfam family: Bacterial small subunit ribosomal RNA
Source: RNAcentral
GGGAAUUUUCCGCAAUGGGCGAAAGCCUGACGGAGCAACGCCGCGUGAGGGAAGAAGGCCUCUGGGCUGUAAACCUCUUUUCUCAAGGAAGGAGAUCUGACGGUACUUGAGGAAUAAGCCACGGCUAACUCCGUGCCAGCAGCCGCGGUAAUACGGGAGUGGCAAGCGUUAUCCGGAAUUAUUGGGCGUAAAGCGUCCGCAGGCGGCCUUUCAAGUCUGCUGUUAAAGCGUGGAGCUUAACUCCAUUAAGGCAGUGGAAACUGUUGGGCUUGAGUGUGGUAGGGGCAGAGGGAAUUCCCGGUGUAGCGGUGAAAUGCGUAGAUAUCGGGAAGAACACCAGUGGCGAAGGCGCUCUGCUGGGCCAUAACUGACGCUCAUGGACGAAAGCCAGGGGAGCGAAAGGGAUUAGAUACCCCUGUAGUCA